UACAGAGGUCUCAAGCGUUGUUCGGAUUCAUUGGGCGUAAAGGGCGCGUAGGCGGUCAGCACAAGUCAGUUGUGAAAUCUCCGGGCUUAACUCGGAAAGGUCAACUGAUACUGUGCGACUAGAGUGCAGAAGGGGCAACUGGAAUUCUCGGUGUAGCGGUGAAAUGCGUAGAUAUCGAGAGGAACACCUGCGGCGAAGGCGGGUUGCUGGGCUGACACUGACGCUGAUGCGCGAAAGCCAGGGGAGCGAACGGG
Molecule: ribosomal RNA, 254 nt
Filed under: uncultured bacterium
Lineage: Bacteria
Description: partial 16S ribosomal RNA
Rfam family: Bacterial small subunit ribosomal RNA
Source: RNAcentral